UACGAAGGGUGCAAACGUUUGCUCGGAAUUAUUGGGCGUAAAGCGCACGUAGGCGGCUUAGCAAGUCGGAAGUGAAAGCCCUCGGCUCAACCAAGGAAGUGCUUUCGAAACUGCUGAGCUUGAGUACUUAAGAGGAUCGCGGAAUUCCCGGUGUAGAGGUGAAAUUCGCAGAUAUUCGGAGGAACACCAGUGGCGAAGGCGACUAACUGGACAGUAACUGACGCUGAGGCACGAAAGCGUGGGGAUCAAACAGG
This 254-nucleotide ribosomal RNA is filed under the name uncultured bacterium. Its description in RNAcentral is "partial 16S ribosomal RNA". It matches the Rfam family "Bacterial small subunit ribosomal RNA", at positions 524 to 776 of the family's 1533-position model. The record is from RNAcentral.